CCUACGGGCGGCAGCAGUGGGGAAUAUUGCACAAUGGGGGAAACCCUGAUGCAGCGACGCCGCGUGAGUGAAGAAGUAUUUCGGUACGUAAAGCUCUAUCAGCAGGGAAGAAAAUGACGGUACCUGACUAAGAAGCCCCGGCUAACUACGUGCCAGCAGCCGCGGUAAUACGUAGGGGGCAAGCGUUAUCCGGAUUUACUGGGUGUAAAGGGAGCGUAGACGGCAGCGCAAGUCUGGAGUGAAAUCCCAUGGCUUAACCAUGGAACUGCUUUGGAAACUGUGCAGCUAGAGUGCAGGAGAGGUAAGCGGAAUUCCUAGUGUAGCGGUGAAAUGCGUAGAUAUUAGGAGGAACACCAGUGGCGAAGGCGGCUUACUGGACUGUAACUGACGUUGAGGCACGAAAGCGUGGGGAGCAAACAGGAUUAGAUACCCGAGUAGUC
This 440-nucleotide ribosomal RNA is filed under the name uncultured bacterium. RNAcentral's name for it is "partial 16S ribosomal RNA". It matches the Rfam family "Bacterial small subunit ribosomal RNA", at positions 338 to 795 of the family's 1533-position model. The record is from RNAcentral.